UCCGUAGGUGGAUAAUUAAGUCAGAGGUGAAAUCCUGCAGCUCAACUGUAGAAUUGCCUUUGAUACUGGUUAUCUUGAGUCAUUAUGAAGUGGUUAGAAUGUGUAGUGUAGCGGUGAAAUGCAUAGAUAUUACACAGAAUACCGACUGCGAAGGCAGAUCACUAAUAAUGUACUGACACUGAGGGACGAAAGCGUGGGGAGCGAACAGGAUUAGAUACCCUGGUAGUCC
Molecule: ribosomal RNA, 229 nt
Filed under: uncultured bacterium
Lineage: Bacteria
Description: partial 16S ribosomal RNA
Rfam family: Bacterial small subunit ribosomal RNA
Source: RNAcentral